CCACGCGCACACGUUCCUCACCCCACCCUUCUCGCUCCCGAUCCCAUCUCCCCACGGGCCUCAACUUGGCUAUGGCGACGGGGAUCAACAACUCCUCUCCUUUGCCUUCUCAAUCGCCGCCCGCCACACGCCUCGCCGCGUCCCUCCUUCAUUCCCGUCCUCGAUUGGGCCGCCGCCGCCACCGCGCCAUCAGGGACGCCGGGGGAGUGCAACCACCGCGCCGCCAGGGUACGCCGCGUGUACCGGCAAUGCGUGAGUCGCCGCGGGUACCGCGCCGGUCGCUGCUUCUGACGAUGCGGGAGCCGCCCCAUCCGGCGAGGACGAGGGGCCCCGUCACCGCUGAUCCUCAGGGCGCAUGCUGCAUCUGAAGCCUCCCUAAUGAUCUCGUCCAUGGAGCACUGGAGUAUUGUUGUUGCGCCACUCCUUCUGUUCAUCGCCAAGAAGCAGGAGCAAGGCGAGAGGAAUUGUCCAACUGCCUUAAUUCAAGUUCAUUCUGAACAACACAUAAUUUUUCAAUGUACAGAAAAAGAUCCAAAAGCCCAUUGUUAUAUAGAAAAAAACUGAUUCAACUCAUAGGGUUGUGCAUGGCAUUUAUUAAUUGCAGGGCCCCAUUUUGCAUUUCGCACUGGGGCCUUGAAUUUCUGGAAUGCCCAUGCGUGUCGAAGAGGAUGCACGGCGCUGCAUCGAUGGCCACCAUGACGGGGCAAGCUGAUGGCAUCAAGCAUGAUGUAUGGAUGUGGGGUCUUCCUUUAGGUGAUGUUGGAUGGUACCUACCCUUUUGAGGAUCCAGAAGAUCACAAGAAUUUCAAAAUGAAAGUUCAGUGCUCAUUUUCGGACUUCCACCUUAUGAAUCAGUUUACCAAGAUGUGGAUGGUCAGGAGAUGCGAGCCCAACAAAGAUUUUGCUCAAGGCUACAACUUGAACCUCAAUCCUACAUGAAAAUUUAAUUUGUGCCAUGAAAAAUUCAGUUAGCUUUACGAUUCUAUUUUCGGUAUUCAUUUCUAUUAGAAGUUAAAAUAAGAACUCAAGUAUGUUCCUUACUGGAGUCAAUUGCGUGAUCAUUAAGCGGGUCAAAACUGAACAGUGUAUUGACCACCCAUCCUGUAUUAGACAAGGAAGCAUAUACACAUCAUUUAUACAUGGUUAGUGUGGAGCCAAAACCAUCCAGACUGAUCCAGCCAGUCCAGAUUCCGAGCGGACCAAGCAGGCGUGCGAAUGAUAUACAUUAGACCAUCUCCAUUAUAUUCUGAGCGAUCCGUUGAGUUUGCUGACUCUGACUAUCCUCCAUGUCCUACUCUGGUGAUGCUCCAACGUUCUCCUAGAGGUCUGCGUCAACAGCCUUCAAGAGUUUUUAUCAUUCACAUGAGUUCUAUUGAUUUGUCUUUAUUAGAAAAAGGGAAAUGGUGUACAUCUAAGUUCAUCUAAGUUAGCUUAGCAAAAUAGCAAACUUUGUUGAUUUUACAUUCAUAUGAAACAGGCGAGCUCAUCACACCUUUGAGCUGUUGCAAUUCUACAUCCUAAUACAAACAUGGAAUCUAGAGGUGGAAAUACGAUACAUCACUCUUCUCUCCUCUCUCCUGUCGUGCAAGAGCCUCCAAAUCAGUGGUUCAGGCUGUGGAUUUGGGGCUAUGGGCUAUUGAAAUCCGGCUAGGAGGGAUCUAGGUGUAUUUCAGCUUAUGGGAAAGCUUGGCUGAGUUUCAACUAUCUAUUGCCGUGGUGGAUGAGACUCAGUGGUCAUGGGAGACUACUGGCAUCUUCUGGGUGAGAUCUGUUUAUAUAUGCAGCAUGCUUUGCAUGAAGGAAGGUGAUAUCUACAGCAAGGUUGGCGUGGACCUAAAGUUUUGUGGAUCCAAAACUACGCACAACGCCGGAUAUUCAGUCCCUAGCAAAACUUCUUCACAGUUGGCCCUGGAUGGACCAUAGCAUUUCAUCAUGCAGGUUGGUAAUAUUGGUUUCUAUCUAUUAUAUGUAUUGUCAUGAUUUUUUUUGUUUUGUUUUUCUAAUACAUAUUUUUUCCAUAUUGCAUUUCCAUAUGCUUCCCCUGACCACUUUAUCUUGACCCUUGGGAUAUCUGUUGCCUUGGUCAAGCUUAAGAUGAUUCAGGACCUUAGAUAUGCAUUGAAACUUCAGAGGAUCGCAUUUUACCUAAACCAAGCAUUGAAAGUACCUCAUCUUGACGAUGAUACUUCUUUCUAGCAUGGUCGAUUACCAGCUUGUGUUCCAAAAAACACAGAUAGAUGAGUGACUCUGAAACCCACUAAUGCAUCUUAUUUAGUUUUUGCAAUGGUUAAGAUAAUGACAAUGAAUUUAUCUACAGGAACUUGUUUGGUUAUUAUGCUUUUAGCGGCACACGUGUUGGCAUGAAUAUGGCACUAACAUUCUUUAGAGUCGGGUGGGAAAGCAUGUGGGCAAGAGAGAUGGUUUUGGGUUGGCCACAGUUGCCAGACGCAGGCGUGGUAGCGGUCC
Non-coding RNA from Triticum urartu, 2466 nucleotides. The record is from RefSeq and is a predicted model, not a curated record. NCBI's taxonomy places the organism in Eukaryota, Viridiplantae, Streptophyta, Magnoliopsida, Poales, Poaceae.